Molecule: unclassified non-coding RNA, 1017 nt
Filed under: Hevea brasiliensis (rubber tree)
Lineage: Eukaryota; Viridiplantae; Streptophyta; Magnoliopsida; Malpighiales; Euphorbiaceae
Source: RNAcentral
CUCCAGGUACGAUCCGACUAUCCCUGCACAUUGCCUUGUAGGUAUUUACACCAUCAUCAACGGCUCUUUCAAGGUCGUCCAAGAUACUAUCAGUGCUUCCCCGCAGAACAACAGUGGAGACAGAAUUUCCACCAUCUUCAUUUCUCACAACUGUAACCCUGACACCGCCAAUUUCCUCCACUGAAACAGAAUCCACAUGGCCAAGGUCAUCUGGAUUUGGCUGGCUAAGCUUUAAAAGUGCAACAGCCCCAGUGGUACGGCAAAAACGGCGGAGUUCAAACUUGGAGCUGAUUUUCAAUACCAUAAGUUUGUAACGCUCACAGAAAUGAAGAGCCAUCUCUCCCACCGCUGCUCCACUGACAAUGACCUUAGCACCUGAAUCAGCAACUGAUUUAAUAAGUUCCUCCACCUUAGCCUCCUCAGUCUUUGCAUAGUUUUCAAGCUGCUCAGCACUAUGAAUAAGAACUGUUCCUUUUGUUUCGGUUGUAGAUGUAUCAACACCUUGAACAAAAACAGCGACCUUUGCCUUCUCUAUCCUCUUUAUGCUCCCAACAGCAUCACUUUUCAACACCAUACCUCUAACUAUGGUGGAAUUAUGCAAACCCCCACCCAAUAGCUUUGCGACUCGUACAUUAUCCACAUUGAAGUUCGCUGGGUUUUUAGGGCACACUUGAAUGCAAGCCUCAGCAACAAGGGGACACAGGACAUCCUCUAGUCCAAAUUGUUUGCUAGCAACUGCAGAUUUCAUCCGUGAAAUAACUUCAUUCUUGUCUUUGACAUUCAUAUUCUCGGAACCUGCCUCAACUAGCUCAUCCAAUAAUUCAAUUGUCUUAUUUAUUGCCUUAUUGUACCCGAUGAUAAUUUCACUAGGGUGCAACCCCAUCCUAAUGAGCUCCUCAGCAUUUUGGAGGAGCUCCCCCGCAAAUGAAACAGUCAAAUUAGCUCCAUCACCAAUCUCCUCCUGCUGCAAAGAUAUUGGUUUUGGCCGGAAAGGCACAGCAAGAGGAGAUUGGUGAU